GGCGAGCGCUGGCGGCGUGCUUAACACAUGCAAGUCGAACGGAAAGGCCCUGCUUUUGUGGGGUGCUCGAGUGGCGAACGGGUGAGUAACACGUGAGUAACCUGCCCUUGACUUUGGGAUAACUUCAGGAAACUGGGGCUAAUACCGGAUAGGAGCUCCUGCUGCAUGGUGGGGGUUGGAAAGUUUCGGCGGUUGGGGAUGGACUCGCGGCUUAUCAGCUUGUUGGUGGGGUAGUGGCUUACCAAGGCUUUGACGGGUAGCCGGCCUGAGAGGGUGACCGGCCACAUUGGGACUGAGAUACGGCCCAGACUCCUACGGGAGGCAGCAGUGGGGAAUAUUGCACAAUGGGCGGAAGCCUGAUGCAGCAACGCCGCGUGCGGGAUGACGGCCUUCGGGUUGUAAACCGCUUUCGCCUGUGACGAAGCGUGAGUGACGGUAAUGGGUAAAGAAGCACCGGCUAACUACGUG
This 468-nucleotide ribosomal RNA is filed under the name uncultured bacterium. RNAcentral's name for it is "partial 16S ribosomal RNA". It matches the Rfam family "Bacterial small subunit ribosomal RNA", at positions 28 to 507 of the family's 1533-position model. The record is from RNAcentral.